Molecule: ribosomal RNA, 425 nt
Filed under: uncultured bacterium
Lineage: Bacteria
Description: partial 16S ribosomal RNA
Rfam family: Bacterial small subunit ribosomal RNA
Source: RNAcentral
GUGGGGAAUCUUGCGCAAUGGGCGAAAGCCUGACGCAGCCAUGCCGCGUGAAUGAUGAAGGUCUUAGGAUUGUAAAAUUCUUUCACCGGGGACGAUAAUGACGGUACCCCGGGAAUAAGCAUCGGCUAACUCCGUGCCAGCAGCCGCGGUAAUACGGAGGAUGCGAGCGUUAUCCGGAUUUAUUGGGUUUAAAGGGUGCGUAGGCGGAAUGAUAAGUCAGUGGUGAAAACCUGCAGCUUAACUGUAGACUUGCCGUUGAUACUGUCAGUCUUGAGUGUGGUCAAGGUAGGCGGAAUGUGUAAUGUAGCGGUGAAAUGCUUAGAUAUUACACAGAACACCGAUUGCGAAGGCAGCUUACUGGGCCAUUACUGACGCUGAUGCACGAAAGCGUGGGGAUCGAACAGGAUUAGAAACCCUUGUAGUCC